AAAUUGAAGAGUUUGAUCAUGGCUCAGAUUGAACGCUGGCGGCAGGCCUAACACAUGCAAGUCGAACGGUAACAGGAAGCAGCUUGCUGCUUUGCUGACGAGUGGCGGACGGGUGAGUAAUGUCUGGGAAACUGCCUGAUGGAGGGGGAUAACUACUGGAAACGGUGGCUAAUACCGCAUAACGUCGCAAGACCAAAGAGGGGGACCUUCGGGCCUCUUGCCAUCAGAUGUGCCCAGAUGGGAUUAGCUUGUUGGUGAGGUAACGGCUCACCAAGGCGACGAUCCCUAGCUGGUCUGAGAGGAUGACCAGCCACACUGGAACUGAGACACGGUCCAGACUCCUACGGGAGGCAGCAGUGGGGAAUAUUGCACAAUGGGCGCAAGCCUGAUGCAGCCAUGCCGCGUGUAUGAAGAAGGCCUUCGGGUUGUAAAGUACUUUCAGCGGGGAGGAAGGUGUUGUGGUUAAUAACCGCAGCAAUUGACGUUACCCGCAGAAGAAGCACCGGCUAACUCCGUGCCAGCAGCCGCGGUAAUACGGAGGGUGCAAGCGUUAAUCGGAAUUACUGGGCGUAAAGCGCACGCAGGCGGUCUGUCAAGUCGGAUGUGAAAUCCCCGGGCUCAACCUGGGAACUGCAUUCGAAACUGGCAGGCUUGAGUCUUGUAGAGGGGGGUAGAAUUCCAGGUGUAGCGGUGAAAUGCGUAGAGAUCUGGAGGAAUACCGGUGGCGAAGGCGGCCCCCUGGACAAAGACUGACGCUCAGGUGCGAAAGCGUGGGGAGCAAACAGGAUUAGAUACCCUGGUAGUCCACGCCGUAAACGAUGUCUACUUGGAGGUUGUGCCCUUGAGGCGUGGCUUCCGGAGCUAACGCGUUAAGUAGACCGCCUGGGGAGUACGGCCGCAAGGUUAAAACUCAAAUGAAUUGACGGGGGCCCGCACAAGCGGUGGAGCAUGUGGUUUAAUUCGAUGCAACGCGAAGAACCUUACCUGGUCUUGACAUCCACAGAACAUUCCAGAGAUGGAUUGGUGCCUUCGGGAACUGUGAGACAGGUGCUGCAUGGCUGUCGUCAGCUCGUGUUGUGAAAUGUUGGGUUAAGUCCCGCAACGAGCGCAACCCUUAUCCUUUGUUGCCAGCGGUCCGGCCGGGAACUCAAAGGAGACUGCCAGUGAUAAACUGGAGGAAGGUGGGGAUGACGUCAAGUCAUCAUGGCCCUUACGACCAGGGCUACACACGUGCUACAAUGGCGCAUACAAAGAGAAGCGACCUCGCGAGAGCAAGCGGACCUCAUAAAGUGCGUCGUAGUCCGGAUUGGAGUCUGCAACUCGACUCCAUGAAGUCGGAAUCGCUAGUAAUCGUGGAUCAGAAUGCCACGGUGAAUACGUUCCCGGGCCUUGUACACACCGCCCGUCACACCAUGGGAGUGGGUUGCAAAAGAAGUAGGUAGCUUAACCUUCGGGAGGGCGCUUACCACUUUGUGAUUCAUGACUGGGGUGAAGUCGUAACAAGGUAACCGUAGGGGAACCUGCGGUUGGAUCACCUCCUUACCUUAAAGAAGC
Molecule: ribosomal RNA, 1554 nt
Filed under: Salmonella enterica
Lineage: Bacteria; Pseudomonadati; Pseudomonadota; Gammaproteobacteria; Enterobacterales; Enterobacteriaceae
Also listed under: 1 other name
Description: bacterial SSU rRNA
Rfam family: Bacterial small subunit ribosomal RNA
Source: RNAcentral